Molecule: long non-coding RNA, 340 nt
Filed under: Monodelphis domestica (gray short-tailed opossum)
Lineage: Eukaryota; Metazoa; Chordata; Mammalia; Didelphimorphia; Didelphidae
Description: lncRNA (ENSMODG00000050841.1)
Source: RNAcentral
CUUGUGUGGAAAGGAAACAAGACUGACAGUUUGUAGGGGAAGGGCCCAACUGGGAGUGGCAGUUGGGUCUUGUGACUAGCACUUCCUUCCUGCCAAGUGGAACUGGCUUCCUGGUGUUGGAGGAGAGAGGAGCUUGUUCAGCCCAGUCUGGUGUGGUGUGCCUCUUUCUUUCUUGGUUCAGCCUGAAGAUUCAAGUCCAAUCUCUUCUGAAGAUUAGGAAACUGAAGCAAACAUUUACUGACUUGCUCAAGAUCACACAACUAGUAAGUGUCUAAGGUUGGUUUUGAACUGAGGUCUUCCUGAUUCCUGCCUCAGUAUUCUAUGCACUGCACUACCUUGC